Molecule: ribosomal RNA, 253 nt
Filed under: uncultured bacterium
Lineage: Bacteria
Description: partial 16S ribosomal RNA
Rfam family: Bacterial small subunit ribosomal RNA
Source: RNAcentral
UACGUAGGGUGCAAGCGUUAAUCGGAAUUACUGGGCGUAAAGCGUGCGCAGGCGGCCAUGCAAGUCAGAUGUGAAAUCCCCGGGCUCAACCUGGGAACUGCAUUUGUGACUGCAUGGCUAGAGUACGGCAGAGGGGGAUGGAAUUCCGCGUGUAGCAGUGAAAUGCGUAGAUAUGCGGAGGAACACCGAUGGCGAAGGCAAUCCCCUGGGCCUGUACUGACGCUCAUGCACGAAAGCGUGGGGAGCAAACAGG